RNAcentral lists this long non-coding RNA (453 nucleotides) under Dunaliella salina. RNAcentral's name for it is "long non-coding RNA (DSAL_LNC000430)". The record is from RNAcentral. Lineage: Eukaryota; Viridiplantae; Chlorophyta; Chlorophyceae; Chlamydomonadales; Dunaliellaceae.
CGCUCCGGCGCAGGAACCUUCCUUUAUCCAUCAUGGCGUCACUUCAUGAAGACAUCUACGGAUGACUUUGUCUAUGACCCCAAUUGCAUGCGCUCUAUGGACACCAUCCCCAUGUUUAACAUCAUCAAUGAGGUAGUCCCACCCUCGACUCGGCCCCUCCCUGAAGUCACUAUGAACCCUCAGAACAAACGGGGCCGCGGGAUGGAAUCUGAUGCUCCUGCUGGAACAGGUACCUCACGGGCCCAAGGAAACCAAUAGGUGGUUGGCCUCCAGUCUCCACUUUCUUUUGUUACUCUUAACUGUGAUGGUAUACCUGCUGACUCUGACUCCCUUAACCUGGAGAACCUGGUUCGCGUUAUUUCUUCACACCAUAUCAUUUUUCUACAAGAAACCAGGACUUCCCAGUAUGAUCGACUCCUACAACACCUUCCCAGGCACUUUCUUCUUGGCCAC